GAUGCACUCACACCUCACACACUAUCUACGGAAAGGAAAACACUCGACAUGGAGAAGAAGCACCACCAGCAGAAGAAAAUAGUGCACCAAUAGCAGACAUCUUUUUCUUAUUUUUUUUUUUGGAUAAUUCGAGAAUCGUUUGCUGGCGCGCGGUGCUUUUCUAAAGACAAUUUUGGUAUCACGAAUUCAAAUUCACGAUGUGUGGAGUAAUCUUGCGCGGGCCAGUGAGAUAGAAAAACUAAACUGCUCACUUUUUUUCUAUUUUAUGUGGAAGAAGAUUCAGAAGAGAGAGACGUGUCGGGGAGUAUUUUUGUGUCGAUAAUGAAAAUGUUUACUGUCAGAAAUGAGUUCAUUCGCAACUGACAUGGAGAUGGACAUGAGUGGAUUCUAUUAAACGGUUUUUGUCUCAGCUACCAGUACUCUUUUUAGUACUUUAUUUUAAAUUGGCGACUACUACUUUUUCUUAGCACUACCUUUGUAUAUGAAAUGGAAUAGUACCUUUGUAUAUGAAAACUAUAGUACUCUCAUGAGCAAAAUUUUUUAGGGCAACAGGAUGCCGACCUAUUGGCGCUAGUAUAGACAGUGGAGACAUUUCAGGGGAGCGAGAGAAAAAUAUUAUUUCCAUUUCCAUAAGCAGCCAGCAGAAUAAGGGAGAUCAUUAUUUUUCCACACAAAAUAUCUACACAAUUUCCUUCAUUCUAUUUGAAACUA
Long non-coding RNA from Eupeodes corollae, 711 nucleotides. RefSeq lists it as uncharacterized. The transcript is spliced from 3 exons. NCBI's taxonomy places the organism in Eukaryota, Metazoa, Arthropoda, Insecta, Diptera, Syrphidae. The record is from RefSeq and is a predicted model, not a curated record.